AUACUUUCACUGCUAGAUCCGGAGAUAUUCUUCAAAGCGUUGGAUUUUGCUGGAACCUAUGGAGUUUUGGUGCUUUUUGGACUUCUUCCAGCUGCAAUGUCCUGGUCAGACAGAUAUUCGGAAUCAACUCAAACUCCAAACUUACCUCCGUUGGUUCCCGGAGGAAAGAUCACCCUUUCACUUGUUUUUGGAGGUGCAGCAUUGGUCAUUCUUUCAGAAAUAGUAGAGAACUUUGCACAUACAUAGUUGUUGACAAUGGAGGUGAUCAUAUUUAGCUCGUCUCGUCUCGAGUUACCACAUUUCCCAGAAUAUUUCUACAAGUGCUAGCUAAUUUGCAGUGUAUGAACUAUGAAGUACUGUUGUCUGUUGGUAUAUAAUGGUGAAAUUGUUGUGAAUAUGAUCAUGUAGAUAUAUAGAAACAACAACUCUGGAA
RNAcentral lists this unclassified non-coding RNA (433 nucleotides) under Hevea brasiliensis (rubber tree). Lineage: Eukaryota; Viridiplantae; Streptophyta; Magnoliopsida; Malpighiales; Euphorbiaceae. The record is from RNAcentral.